This is a non-coding RNA of Chiloscyllium plagiosum (whitespotted bambooshark), 5755 nucleotides long. NCBI's taxonomy places the organism in Eukaryota, Metazoa, Chordata, Chondrichthyes, Orectolobiformes, Hemiscylliidae. The record is from RefSeq and is a predicted model, not a curated record.
CUUCGUAAGGCUCCAAAACUGGAUUGCUCAAUUAAGUUUCCACUGACACCUGCAAAUACAGCAUGGCAGAGGUUCAUUCUGAUUGCCAGAGACAGUUUCAGGCAGCUGUCUCAGUCAUCCAGGCCUUGCCAAAAAAUGGUGCUUACCAUCCGUCCCAUGAGAAGAUGUUGAAGUUUUACAGUUACUACAAGCAGGCAACUGUAGGCCCAUGUAGUAUUAGCAGGCCUGGCUUCUGGGAUCCUAUUGGACGUGUAAAAUGGGACGCAUGGAAAGCUCUGGGGAACUUGUCAAAAGAAGAAGCCAUGAUGACUUAUGUCGAAGAGAUAAAGAAAACAGCACAGGAGGUUAUUGAUUCGAUGUCAGGGACAGAGAAUGAGGAGCAGCACUUCCACCUGUUUCAUCCACUAUAUGAAGUUGUUGAAGAUAUGCCCAGACCUCCAUCUUUCUUCCAUAAGAAGGUGUCAGGUGAAGAUACUGAAACUCCCCUGACGUCGACUCCAUGUGUUGUAAUGAAUGGUGUGCUGAGCAACCAUGAUAGCAACUUGGUAUCAGAGGAUUUGAAUGAUGAGGACAAAGGCCUUGUAACAAACAAAAAAAUAGUUCGAUUUCAGGAGAAUGAGAUCAGCCAAAAUGGUGACAAUAACAGUGAGGCACAUCAGGCCAAAGGCAUUUGUUCAGAAAAUGGUGAUCAUCCAGAGCUAGGGAUCUCUCAAUUGGACACAAUAGAGGAAACCAUGGAGAGACUGCAAGUUCAGGAAAAUCUCUUGAAGCUUCAUGACAGUACAGACAAUGCUGGCAACAAUUACACAGUGGAAAUAGCUGAUCCGAAUCAUUGUACAAGCGAUUCAGAAAGUGAAGUGUUCUGUGAUUCUGUGGAAGAACUGGACCAUGAGAGGAUCUCAGCAAUUGAGAGCAGCAUGGCUCUUGCAGAGCAUUCCCGAGAUUCGCAGAACUUACAGGAUGUUGGGUCCACGGUAAUGCUGUGCAGUGCUAAUGUUUCCACUUGUACACCAGAUGCUUACCAAAACACAUCUGACAAUUUCCCUCCAAACCAAGAGACACAUGAAUGGGCAACUAAUGGUGGUGGAGGGAUUGCACUGGUCGGAGGAAACAAUAAGAAGAAAAAGAUAACAUUUACAAAUCCCUUGUCUGAAUGGCUGACUGAGGGGAAAGGGCUGCAACAAGUUCAAACUGGAACCUCAUGGAGACCAAGAAGCAGCCCUGGCAGCAACAAAGAGGACAACGAAAGAAGGGGACACGGAGAAAAAACUGUGAUCACUGUCAAUGAUAAUAUUGUGAGAAUUCUUCAUCAUCUAGAAGAGGACAUCCAGUCUGCAUUACAGAGACUCAGUAGGCUGGAAGACCUGACAAUGUCACAGGUGCAAACAGCUGGUCUGCAACCUCCUCAGUUGAAAAUAUCCAGGCAUAAGAGAGUUUCCAGGUGGCUGGUUGGUCCAUCCGGACGUACAUGGCUGUUUCUAAUUGUGUGGCCUUUCAUUGCUCAGUGGAUAGUGCAUGUUUUUCUUCGCAGAAGAAGGAGUUGAACAUCUGUGAAACAGGAGAUUUGCAGAGAAAGAUACUUCCAAUACAUCAGACCUACCUAACUUAAGGAACAUGGCUACUGGACGCAAGAAAAUAAUUGGAGAAAGGACUGUAACAGAGGUGGGAUUUUCCAGAGGAGGAGUUUUCUUGCGGACAUGAGCAUUGUGAGGUUUCAAUGGGGAGUGAUCUACGUGCAGCCUCAUGUAUCUUCCAGAAUACAGACCUCAAUGAAACAACUGGAUACAGUCUAAUCAGUUUGAUGCAUGUCAACAUAUGUGAAUCAGAAACCAAACAGAGUAGCAUACCAAGAAGAUGGGAGCAAUUAUCCCAACCUGCUUUCUAAAACCUGAUCUAUUGCUACCUCUUUAAUAUAUUACUCGCACUCCCAUUUCGUUAUGUUAUUUUAUGUUCUACACCUCCAUCUUACGUGCUGCCCUUCCAACAGCCAAAUGCAAUAUAAAGGCUCAAAUGAUUCCUCCUAACAGACAAGAACAUGAUUGGAAAUCUUUGACUGUUAACAUUUGUCAUUUUUAUAGUGGUUUAAUGGAUGCAGUGCAAUGUGGAAUGUUAAACACAUGCUGGCAUCUUUCAGAAUGCACAUAAGUUUAACAUUUGUAAUUUCUGGCAGUGAAGUUUUGGCACACUUCAUUUAAUCCAUAAUGUGUCCCUAGAUUACAGUCAAUGGCUCCUCAUGAAUUUGCUUCAGUUGAUGGAAAUCCAGUAUUUGGCUUUCCAUUAAAACAGUCAUGAGGAAAAUGAGUUAUUGUACUUAAUCCAUUUCCAGUUUCACAAGAAAUCAAAUUUGACUUGACAACCCCAAUCCCAUUGGUGCAAUGAAGAUGCUUCCUCAUACAGUCUUGUUGGGUGAAGUUUGACUGAUCGAGAAGACUUAGAUCUUUUGUAUUGUGAAACUGCAAGGAUUCAAAUUUAAACUAAUCCACUUUAAUCAUUUUUGGUGCUGUUCACUUUUGCCAUAUUGGUUUCACUACAUUCUUGAUCAGUGCUCCUGCUUAGACCUCGCAUAAAUGUAAUGGUUUUCCACUGUUCACGAGCUGUUAAUGUUUAAGUCAUUAUCCAUAUAGCUUUCGAAAUUAACAAUACUUUCUACGAAUUCUGGGAGCAGUAUUUGUCUUUAGAAAUAUAAUAUUCUUAAUGAUGGAAAUGUAUUCAAAGGCUUGCAAACAAAACUGAUGUCAGUUCCUAUUUUUGCUAGACUUGGAUCUAUGUCCAACCCGAAUGGAAUGACUGAGGCGAGUAACCUUUCUGGGGAUGUCCACUCAACACUGCAUUGCUUUUUGAGUCUUCAAAAUAUUUAACCACUAAUGACCAGGUUAAUUAUUUCAAAAUAAGAUGCCGGUCAGAAGGUGGAAUAUUAGCUGGGAAUUUGUCAAUGUUCCUGAUAUUGAAACUGGAAUGGUGGCACUUUGACUUUCUUUUUGCUUUAUCUCAUGUGAUCAGAAUUAAAAUUCGAAGUGUCAGCAGUAUGAAUAAAAAUCAUAAUUCAGUUUAUCAGCCGAGAAGCUUUUUAAUCUGAAAGGUAACAUCAACUGACAAUGCUACAUCUACAGGAAACCGCAUCUAGGCUUUUAUGUAAGAUUGGAGAGCACAACGGUGCCAGUAGUGCUUUCCAAACUUAAAUUUAACUUUUAAAUAAUUCAUUUUAGAUUGGUUUAGCUUUAUUCAUGUGUGUAUCAUCGUUAUUUCUCAAAUGGAAAGCUAAAAGCACUGGCAAGCAUCAUAGUUAGCAUGAAAUGUCACAUGGCAUUCUCUUUACUGUGCAGGAAAUAGUAUUGUGUGUUUGUGUUCAUUCUUCAUUGAAUAUGUAUAUUAUUUUUCAGUAUUAAACUUACCACUACAGGAUAUUGCUGAACUUGAUCAACAGGCUUUCCCUUCAAUGCAUUUUAAAAGGCAUUGUCUGAAAUCACACUGUGGUGUAAUUGAAAUGUUGCAGAUUAGCCCAGAGCCCUGUAAGGACUCUGCCAGUGAACACCCUGAAAUGUGACCAUAAUUAGACAGGUACUGACAAUGCAUUUUAGGCACCUUAUUUUCUUGCCUCGACUGACUGUUUUCCCCCGUCACACCAGGACACUAGGUUCUUCUUACUUCACUCCUCUGCACGUGCAAACCCCUCAUCAUUGAAAUACCCUGACCAGUCCUGAGUGAAUUGUCCUGACACCUUUCUUGUGUCGUAGAGUUGGAGAAGAAAAAACACUAAAGAAAGAAAUGCGCAGACACAAUAACUACAUUCACUGUCUGAUGAGUUCCAUCCAUUGCAGAGAUCACAGUUAUGUCGCCCAGUCACCCAGCAUGAAUUUCAGAAAGUUAUGCCUCCAUUGGCCUUAAUUUUUUGUUACAAGUUUCCUAGUGAACUGCAAAAUUGAAGUGUGAGGAAGCUUUGCAAUUAAUUUAUGGAAAAUUGCAGCACAGUGUUUAAUGGCAUUUUCUUGCCCUAGAAUGAAACCUGAAGUGAUCACCUUGUAACAUUCAAGAUUACUAAAUCAGCUUUAACAAUUGGUGUAAACUGGAUUUCGGUGUAAACUGGAUUUCGGUGCCUACUGUACAGUUCCAGAGGUAGAAUAGAAAUGGUUGGAGCUACCUGAGCUUUUCAAUUCCUGACUGAUGAAAUUUGUGCAUUUUUCCUAUGAAAAUUAUUAUACAGUAUAAAAGAUUACCCUCCUUGAGCAACUUACCUAUGUCUGAACUUACAGUUUAAUGCGUACCUUAUCAUAAUCCAUUUUGUCCCUCAGCCAUGACAAGUUCAUAACUAUCUAAGAUUCAGAGGGAGAGAGAAAUAAAUAACCUGAGUGGAUGUAUGUGCCUCUUACCACAAUGGCUUUGAUCAGAGAAUAACCGUCUAUUCUCAUUUAAAAGUUGUCAUCAAGAUCCUUAUAAUGGUCAAUAUAGAAGAACAUUUGCAUGCUAGCCAGAGUAACAUCAAGACCCAACCCUCCUUAUGUGAUUAGGCAGCAAUUGAUUUAUAGAAGAUAAAGCUUUUUUUUGUUAUUGUCUUUAAAUGUGUGUGUGUAGAGUACUGGGCAGAUGUUCACUCCUGUCAUAGAUGGAGAUGUGUAUGUUUGUUCCACACCAUUUACUGGUGUUUCUAUAUGAAACUUAAUAAAAUACUGACAUCUGAACUUGUGUGGCCCCUAAGGUCGGGAGAGUAACUUCUAUCUAAUUGAUAAAAGUAACAGUAUGCUCUGAUAUUUUCAGUCUAAGAAUGGUUAGACUGUAAUUUAUGGAAACGCUCCACUUUUCACUUAUAAGUAGGAGACGGAUUACUGAUUGCACUGAAUGUCCUGUUUCUGUCCUUUGUAUGCUGUGCUUUUCCUUUUGAAACAUGUUUUACUAUACCCAACCUAGCUAUAACUUUUCAUUAUUCUAAGUCAUCUUCUUUUUAAUGCGUUAUCUCAAAUCUUGGAAUGUUGUUGCUAGCCCCAUUCAGUUAAAAGCCUCAAAUCACUUUCUCUUUCCUCCCCCUGCCCACCUUCCCCUAGAUUACAGACAUUUCUUCAACUGUCUGCUGAGCAGAGAUUUCGAUUCAUUCCAUAGACAUGCAGAUUAUCAGGCUGUAGGAAGGCCCCUCCCUAUUCAAUGGAAUUUCAAGUUGUCCAUGAUGCUGAAUAUUAGCCAGGCAAUUCUUGGUGAAAGGGAAGGGGAAACCCAUCUGAUGGUUUACAUGUGUUACGACUAGAUGAGAAGGGGUCAACCUCCCUGGUUGCCCACAAGAUUCAAUUAUCCUUUUAACACAUGGCUAUACCUCUGUUAACUACAUUUUUAUAAACUAAACUACCAAAAAAUGAAGAAGGAUCCAAUUAAAAAGUUUCCUUGAGUGAAAGGAAAAGGACUUUUAUUAAUUAAUAAUCCCAAGUAGAAAAAUAAAGACUUUAACAUCAACUUGUUCCAAAAAGAAGUACCUAAUUAGAAAGGGGGAUAAUGUCAAAUACAAAAGGGAAGAUCAAAGAAUAUGCAGUGUUAAGGAUGACCCUGGAGUAGUUAGGUGUUAAUCUGAGACCAUGGUUGGUUUGUGGUGUCCAGGAUCAGCAGCAGCUGUGAAUAUUGCAGAUAACUUUUAAAUUCAUGGUUUUGGAUGUUUCUUGAAAUUAGUGUUGUCCUUUCUGAGCGAGCAGAGUGAGCAUCCCCCCCCCCCCCUUUACCCUGCUGCAUUCAAUUCCAGGUAUAAGUCUUCUUGUCUGCUCUGCCAAAACAGUUGAAA